Acanthochromis polyacanthus (spiny chromis) is the source of this 584-nucleotide long non-coding RNA. RefSeq lists it as uncharacterized. NCBI's taxonomy places the organism in Eukaryota, Metazoa, Chordata, Actinopteri, Pomacentridae. The record is from RefSeq and is a predicted model, not a curated record. The transcript is spliced from 6 exons.
GUUAUCUGAGCCAAUCAGCGGGUCGCUGCUGCUCGGGGUUUCUAUAUAAUGGCAGCGGCGCCGCCUUUCGCCCUCUUCCUCUUCGGGUUUCCUUCGAGGCUAAGCGUAGAGAAAGAGAGCACUUCGAGUCCUCAAGAAAUGGCAGCCUUACCCACUAUGUCCCACCACGUACAUCUGCAAAUAAGACGGAUAUUUGGAAAUUCCAAAGGUGAAAAAGCAUGCCAUGAAAGUCAGAGCAUCAUAUGGAGGUGACAGUCAAAGGCUGACUAAAAAGCGACUGAAGACUGCUCAUGUUCAGGCAUCAAACUGUUCAUGAUCUCAGGCUGGCACCACAAGACUACAUGGGCGUCUGGCUCGACAUCGUUGUGCAGGUCCCUUGCCAUGUUGGAUCCACAUCCAGGAAAAACUGCAAACUGUAGGGGCAAGUGGCAAGACUGAUCUUUGACUGACUUGCCUGUAAAACAUGAAUGUCAUGGCACUGGAAUAACAGCACCUAUGAAGUGACAGAUGUGUGAAAGGUGAAUUUUUGUAUCGGCUGGCAAUUCUGUAAACUUGAAUGUAAUAAAAUGGACUGAUCAACUGUU